This is a small nucleolar RNA of Ochotona princeps (American pika), 103 nucleotides long. Its record names the gene U3. It matches the Rfam family "Small nucleolar RNA U3". Rfam says of the family: Small nucleolar RNAs (snoRNAs) are involved in the processing and modification of rRNA in the nucleolus. The record is from Ensembl. Lineage: Eukaryota; Metazoa; Chordata; Mammalia; Lagomorpha; Ochotonidae.
AAGACUAUACUUUCAGGGAUCAUUUCCAUAGUCUGUGAAGAAUGCAGUAUUUUAUGAUUCACUAUUGUUCAUAGUUCUUUGAGGUUGAGUCACUUCAAAGAAC